AAUAUUGCACAAUGGAGGAAACUCUGAUGCAGCGACGCCGCGUGAGUGAUGAAGGCUUUCGAGUCGUAAAACUCUGUCCUAGGGGACGAUAAUGACUGUACCCUAGGAGGAAGCCCCGGCUAACUACGUGCCAUCAGCCGCGGGAAUACGUAGGGGGCGAGCGUUGUUCGGAAUUAUUGGGCGUAAAGGGUGCGUAGGCGGCCUUUUAAGUCAGAUGUGAAAGGCUAGGGCUUAACCGUAGUUAGCAUUUGAAACUAAAAGGCUUGAGUGCAGGAGAGGAGAGUGGAAUUCCUAGUGUAGCGGUGAAAUGCGUAGAUAUUAGGAGGAACACCAGUGGCGAAGGCGACUCUCUGGACUGCAACUGACGCUGAGGCACGAAAGCGUGGGGAGCGAACA
RNAcentral lists this ribosomal RNA (396 nucleotides) under uncultured bacterium. RNAcentral's name for it is "partial 16S ribosomal RNA". It matches the Rfam family "Bacterial small subunit ribosomal RNA", at positions 360 to 774 of the family's 1533-position model. The record is from RNAcentral.